GGCAGUUGUCAGGUGAUGCACUCUGGAAUCAAGCUCCCUCCUCUCUGGUUCCGGGUGCGUCACCCGAGAACUGUA
Non-coding RNA from Myotis davidii, 75 nucleotides. The record is from Rfam. Lineage: Eukaryota; Metazoa; Chordata; Mammalia; Chiroptera; Vespertilionidae.